CAAAUUAGUAAUUACAAUAAUUCUAGGGAAUAUCCUGUGGAUAAUGCCUACAAAAUCCAUAAAAUAAAGAUCACCCCAAAACAUAAAACAAAUAAAUAAAACAAAUAGAAAAAUAGAAAUAAAACUACCUAAUUUCUUUUCCUUUUUCUUCCUUUUGUUUUUUUUCCUUUUCCUGCUUUCUUCACCUACGGUCGAGCGGCUUCGGUGGGUCACCGGAGGUUGGGUCUUCGGCGUUCAGAGCUCCGGCAAGGGCGGCAGCAGGCACAGCUGGUCACGGGUCAGGCGAGACAGGGGCGGCACGGGCGAAGGAGACAGCCGGCGUCGGGGUACGUUGGAGCAGCAACGUGGGCAGCCGGCGUCGGAGUAUUGGCGCGGACUGGGCGGCAGCAGCAACAAGGAGGCGCGGCGUCGGUGGCCGGCGAACAGCGGGGUUGCGGGUCGCAGCGGUGUUGUCCCACGGGUGUGUAGCGGCUCGGCGUUCAGUUCCGGCGUCGUGGGUCAGCAAGCAGAGCAGCAACGGCGACGGGGCACGGGCUGAGGCGCGGCGGCGGAGCUGCGGACGUCGUAGCUGAGGUCACCGGAGAGGGGUUUCGAAUGGAGGCUAGCAGACGCGGCGACAGCGCUGGGUCACGGGCUACUGGCUGCUGGGCGGCGACAGCAAGGCGGUGCUUGGGCUUCUAGUUGCAGGCGAGGCAGAUCCGGCGGUAGUAGCAGCGUCGCAGGGGCUCACAGGCGGGGCACAGCGAUGCUGGUGCGGCGGUAGCGACCGGAGACUCGGGAUCUGCAGGUGGGUCGCUCGGGCGUGAGGCGGAAACAGGGCUGCUUGGGCGCGGUGACAGGUAGCGAUCGGCAAGGUCAGGAGCGGCGGGCUUCGUCGGAGCUCCGGCGUCGGGGUACGUUGGACAGCAACGUGGGCAGCAAGUUGGGAAGACGAUGAACAGUAGGAGUCAAAUCACCUUUUUACUUUUACCUUUUCCCCUCUCUCUCUCUCUUUCUCUCUCUCUCUCACUCUCCUGCUGACCUUUUUUUGUUUUCUUUUUUUUCGACCCAAGAGAAGCCGUGAACCUACGGUUUGCUCUCCCCCCCCCUCCCCCUCUCUACGGUUUGCUCUCUUUUAUAGGCCAAGACAAAAUGCAAGCAGAGCAGCAACGGCGACGGGGCACGGGCUGAGGCGCGGCGGCGGAGCUGCGGACGUCGUAGCUGAGGUCACCGGAGAGGGGUUUCGAAUGGAGGCUAGCAGACGCGGCGACAGCGCUGGGUCACGGGCUACUGGCUGCUGGGCGGCGACAGCAAGGCGGUGCUUGGGCUUCUAGUUGCAGGCGAGGCAGAUCCGGCGGUAGUAGCAGCGUCGCAGGGGCUCACAGGCGGGGCACAGCGAUGCUGGUGCGGCGGUAGCGACCGGAGACUCGGGAUCUGCAGGUGGGUCGCUCGGGCGUGAGGCGGAACAGGGCUGCUUGGGCGCGGUGACAGGUAGCGAUCGGCAAGGUCAGGAGCGGCGGGCUUCGUCGGAGCUCCGGCGUCGGGGUACGUUGGACAGCAACGUGGGCAGCAAGUUGGGAAGACGAUGAACAGUAGGAGUCAAAUCACCUUUUUACUUUUACCUUUUCCCCUCUCUCUCUCUC
This 1622-nucleotide long non-coding RNA is filed under the name Eucalyptus grandis. RNAcentral's name for it is "long non-coding RNA (EGRA_LNC005524)". The record is from RNAcentral. Lineage: Eukaryota; Viridiplantae; Streptophyta; Magnoliopsida; Myrtales; Myrtaceae.